Molecule: transfer RNA, 76 nt
Filed under: Pseudomonas sp. PLMAX
Lineage: Bacteria; Pseudomonadati; Pseudomonadota; Gammaproteobacteria; Pseudomonadales; Pseudomonadaceae
Also listed under: 1 other name
Description: tRNA-Phe
Rfam family: tRNA
About the family: Transfer RNA (tRNA) molecules are approximately 80 nucleotides in length. Their secondary structure includes four short double-helical elements and three loops (D, anti-codon, and T loops).
Source: RNAcentral
GCAGUGGUAACUCAGUUGGUAGAGUGGGGGUGUGAAGAACCUCUGGUCACUGGUUCGAACCCAGUCCGCUGCACCA